UUAAAUUGAAAAAAAUGCAAGCUUCCUUGAGCUGGAAAAUUCAUUGAGGACAAGAUGAAAUAACAUGUCAAUCAAUAUCAUAUGGCUUUCAAAGGAAUAAAAGAAUUUUCUUCCGAUAUGCUGUUCAUCAUCAAUUACCACAGUGAAAAAUGCAGAAAGAAACUAAAUGCACGAGCAAACAAUAAUACCAGG
Long non-coding RNA from Ipomoea nil (Japanese morning glory), 192 nucleotides. RefSeq lists it as uncharacterized. The record is from RefSeq and is a predicted model, not a curated record. The transcript has 3 exons. Lineage: Eukaryota; Viridiplantae; Streptophyta; Magnoliopsida; Solanales; Convolvulaceae.